RNAcentral lists this unclassified non-coding RNA (586 nucleotides) under Hevea brasiliensis (rubber tree). The record is from RNAcentral. Lineage: Eukaryota; Viridiplantae; Streptophyta; Magnoliopsida; Malpighiales; Euphorbiaceae.
AGCUGAUAAAUCUUUUAAUAAAACUCCAGAUAUCAUUGUUAUAAGGAAAAGCACCCACUAGAAGGAAAUAAAUAUUGUAUUUAAUUAAAUAUAAAAAUUCAAAGACAACAAAAGUAAAGACAAACAACGAACAUGCAAUCCCAACCUACUUUGGUAAAAGAAGAAUAUCAAUAAGAAGAAAUGCAAGUAUAAGCAGGAGGAAAAGUUUCCCAUUAAGAUACAAAAGAAACAAAACAGUGCAAGGAAAACUCUUCUGAAAGCUCCAGAUAUAAAGCGCCCUAAAGAAGCAACUAUCCCAAAAUAAAUCAAGUUCAGAAGCAAAUAAUGAUGCAUGAAAUUCUUGCAUUUUGGUCCAACCAAGUACAGCAAGUAAAACUAAGGUGAACCAAAUUAAAUACAAUAACAAAUACUGAUCCUCAAAAAAAUUUCUUGAAUUUGCUCCAACUACGUGCACCAGACUACCACAAACACAGCAAAUCUUAAAAGAAUCAUCCCACUUUCCCUCUAUCAGAACCCCAGGAACAAAUCAAUAAAUAACCCUCCAAAGUUUGUAGGCUGAGCAAUGGUUUGUACAGUGAACCCAAAA